GGAGCGGUAGUUAAGCUGGUUAUAACGCCGGCCUGUCACGCCGGAGGCCGAGGGUUCGAGCCCCUUCCGCUCCGCCA
This 77-nucleotide transfer RNA is filed under the name Desulfovibrio sp. Its description in RNAcentral is "tRNA-Asp". It matches the Rfam family "tRNA". From Rfam's summary of the family: Transfer RNA (tRNA) molecules are approximately 80 nucleotides in length. Their secondary structure includes four short double-helical elements and three loops (D, anti-codon, and T loops). The record is from RNAcentral. Lineage: Bacteria; Pseudomonadati; Thermodesulfobacteriota; Desulfovibrionia; Desulfovibrionales; Desulfovibrionaceae.